This 406-nucleotide ribosomal RNA is filed under the name uncultured bacterium. RNAcentral's name for it is "partial 16S ribosomal RNA". It matches the Rfam family "Bacterial small subunit ribosomal RNA", at positions 30 to 526 of the family's 1533-position model. The record is from RNAcentral.
AUUGAACGCUGGCGGCAGGCCUAACACAUGCAAGUCGAACGAGUGGCGGACGGGUGAGUAAUGUCUGGGAAACUGCCCGAUGGAGGGGGCUAACUACUGGAACCGGUAGCUAAUACCGCAUACCAUCGGAUGUGCCCAGAUGGGAUUAGCUAGUCGGUGGGGUAACGGCUCACAUAGGCGACGAUCCCUAGCUGGUCUGAGAGGCUGACCGGCCACACUGGAACUGAGACACGGUCCAGACUCCUACGGGAGGCAGCAGUGGGGAAUAUUGCACAAUGGGCGCAAGCCUGAUGCAGCCAUGCCGCGUGUGUGAAGAAGGCCUUCGGGUUGUAAAGUACUUUCGGCGGGGAGGCGGUACUCGAAGAGGAAGCACCGGCUAACUCCGUGCCAGCAGCCGCGGUAAUUC